CACUGACAAAACAGCUCAUUCAAAAGAAAUUAAAUAAAUAUGGCAUGUGAGAAAUAAAAUAAAGAGAUGUUUGACUUAGAAAGUAACAAUUCAAAGUUGGCAUUAAAUAUCUGAAAGGGUGGUGGUUGAUUAGGAGCUCUGGAUGGAUGAUAUAGGGAGGUAGAUUUUGACAUAGUGUGAGAAAGGCUUUUAAUAAUUGGUUUGUUCAAAAGUGAAACGAGUGGGCUUGUGAGACUUGGAAAAGAGGUUUCUAUGUGUCAUGGGAGGUUACAAUCACACUCUUGAGAUCCUUUCUGGUUUUAAUGUUCUUUGAUCCUCUAUGUAGUCAAUAAAUAGUUUUUAAAAGCUCCCUAAGUCACGUUUUAUAGCUACUACUCUUUAAAUCCCAAAUGGAUGUCAGGCCUAAUCAUGGAAGCAAACAUCCAACAGAACUGUGAUGGGCUCAGGAUUCUCACUGACAAUUGUCUCCACGAUCCCAUUUUCAUUCACCACAAUGUCUUCUAGCACUUAUUCCUGUAUCCUUUGUCCUAUCUUUCUUGGUCAAGACUUUUUGUUUCACGUAACUAUCUGGGAGUUAUUGCGGGGCUGAUUUGAGAUUGAAAUGGUAUCUCACUGACUCAGAAGUUUACUUUGGAAGUAAACUAAAAAACCUGAAAAAUUGUCCUACAAUACUCUUGAGGCACGCAAGCUGCCUGGCAAAGUUCUCAUUGGACAUAUUAAUAGCAAUAAUAUGUAUUUUUGGAGAUACUCAUUUAAGUACAAAACAUGUUGAUCAAAGAUAGAUUAAGAACAUAAAUGGAAAUUACAAUUUAACACAAAAUUAACAUUCCCUAGCAAACAUCCCAAGUAAUGGUUUCUUAAGUAUGGUAACUAUUACUGAAUAAUGAUGCAGGGGCUGGAAAAAUAAUGAAUACUACAAAUGUCACUUUCCCAGAACUGUAUAUUUUGAAGUCUAAAAAUUAAUAAUUUGAUAUACCUAGAAUAUUUUGCCAAAAUAAAUUAUUAAUAAGAAGGAAAUCAUGGAGGCAAAUCAACCUUGAUGAUUUUAGGGUCUAUAAUAUUUUCAGUAUAUACAGAGCCCCCAAAUUUGCAUUUAUUUAACAAAUAUUUACUCAGAACAUUCUGUUUCAGGCACUAUUACACGUUCUUUGGCUAUAUCAGUGAACAAAAAAGACAAAAUUCUUUCCCUCAAGAAGCUUAUAGUUAGUGUAGGAAAAUAGCUAAUAAAUAAAAUAUGUCUAAGUAAAUUAUGUAUUAGAAAUUUACACAGGCUAUAGUGAAAAAUCAAUCAGGGAAGGAGUACACAAAAUGAGGGUACUGCCUUUAAAAAUAGGGUGGACAGGGAAAGUCCCAGUGGGAAGGUGACAGUGGGCCAAGACUCAAAGACGGUGAAGGAACAAGCCGGGAUGCUCUCAGGAGGAAGGAUAUUUUAGGAAUAGGAAACAUCUUAAGGCUCUGAAGAGGGUGAACUCGGCUCGUUCAAGAAACAUCAAAGAGAACAGAUGAGCCAUUUACCAGAAAGAUAACUCGAUGGGAAGGUGCAGAUCAUGUUCUACUCUGCUGAUCACGGCAAGGAUUGUGGCUCUUGCCUUGAAUAUCAUGGGGAGCUAUCGCACAGUUUUGAUCAGAAAAAUAACAGGUACAUUUAGAUGGCUAUAUUGAAACUAACCUAUGACAGAGUAAAAGAGAAGCAGGGAGACCAGGUAGGUGGCUGUUUUAGGACAGAAAGGAUGGAGAUUUGGACUAGAGUAAUAGAGGUGGAGGUGGUGAGAAGCUCUGUCUGUUCUUAAAUAAAGAGCCAACAGGAUUUCCUAAGGAUCAGAUACAGGAUAUGAGAGACAGAAGUCAAGAAUGAUUUCAAGGCUCUGGGACUAAUAAAUUAGAAAAAUGGAUUUGCUACUAACUGAGAAAAGAAAGAUGAAAGGUGGAGCAACUUUGAGUGUUGGAUGCAAUAAGUUUGAAAAAUGUACAUUAAACAGCCAGACAAUGAGAAGAGAAUAUCAAAUGGGUAAAUAUUUUUGGUCAAUUAGAUCAUUCAGUGGCUCUCACAGCAUAUCCAACUAAAAAGCUGUACUAAUUAGUAUAGGCAAAAACAAGGCAAAAAUAAAUUCUAAGCCCUAGUCACAACUUCUGAUUUUCAAACAGAAUAUUACCAAAAAAUAUGCAAAAUAUUGUGGACAUUCUAAGGAGUGCAGGGUUGAAAAAGGAGAUUUGGGUCAUUUAAUUUUGCCUAUAAUAUGUGGAGCAAUUUCCAAAGCAGCCAGAUUGACACACUUAAUCAGUUCCCCUUAACACAGAAAAGGAAUUCAUCUAAAUUUGUACAUAAUUAUUUAAUCCAAAAUCCCAAUGGACAAAUGAUAAGUAAGACUCUCCCUGUUGCUAAAAUUAUACUAACGUGUAUAUCCUUCAUGUCCUAACAAGGUGAAGAACAAUAUCGAUGUUCUGGGCUGCAAAACUGAUAAAAGCUUCUUGUGCUUCACAACUCCAGAGCAAUAUUUCACUUGACUAAAAUUCCUGCUUCCUACAGGCUAAAUAUUUUAUAUGCAGAGUUAAAUAUACAAAUAAUAUUAAAUGCAAUACAUUUCUGACAGUGAUAUAAUUUGAGGCAGAAUCUUUCCAAUCAUAUUUACAUACUGCUGGGUGGAUUGGGUGCUCAAGCUUAACAUACAAGGUGAGAAUCAGCAAACAAAGGCAUACUGUGGGCUUUAUUGUCAAGGAAGGGAAAGCAGUAAUUAGUCAGUACCUACUCUUUCCCAGGAAGUCUCCUAUGUUCUUUCAAAAUAAACUUUGAAUUUUCAUGCUACACAGCUCUUAUUUUUUUACAGGUAUAAAUAACUAAGGCUUAGGGGAUUAAACUGUAUGUCUUCAUUGAAUCUGCCCAAAUAAAUUGAUUCUGGGUCCUUUUUUAUUUUUUCCAUAUUUUAGCUUAUAUUUUCCCCCUGUUAGGGUGAGUUAGAAAUUAUGUGCCACAUAGGGACAUUUACCUGCUUUCACAAGAAAUUUUUACGGGAUCAUGAUUAGGCCUCAAAGUUAAGUACUGGGAAAUUUCAGGCUGAACCCCCUCAUCUCCUUUUAAAUAAAGACUGGAUCUGCCAGGGCCAUUUGAAGCCAAGUCCACAUAUUGUGAUUAUUGAGUUUUUGGUAUCCCCUCCCUUAGAUUCUGCACCCGAGGUAAGUGCCAAAUUUGCUUGACCCUAGGCUGGCAGGGUCCUGCCCUUCUUGCUUUGCUUCCCAGCCUUCUAGACAAAAGUAUAAAAUAAGAACCUACAACUGAUGAUUUUAUCAACCUAAAUGCACAAAAUUCUACAUGUCGACCUCCUCUGAUCAAAGUAACAGAUCUUAUUAAAUAAAACACACACACAUGAGACAGAAAAUUUAAAUCAGGUUUGAGAAGUUGAGACCUGUUCUAUUUAUAAGACAAAUUAUUUUACUCAGGGAUUUCUAAGACAAUGAAUAAGUUGUACCAUCCAGAAUAUAAUAAAAAUACAAAAAAAAUCUAAUCUAUUUUAGGACUUUCCAUGAGGACCCAGGCUUAGAUACUUGAGGGGUCUAAAUUCAUAAGUACUCAUGAAAUUGGUUACUGUCAAAGAAGACUUUAGUUAUUCAAAUUGGAAAAAAAGACUAAGAAUCGAACUUGAAACUGAGCUAGUUGUUUCAUUAAAGAUUUACAGCACAUUCAUAUAUGUUAUCUCUGUAGAGCUAUAGGGAUAAAGGGGUAAAUCAAAUGUGAAUCCUGAGCCAAUGUGUAUAUAACCUAGAAGGAUGGACACAGACUGUUAUAAUAUUAAGAAGAUAUCAUAUAUGGAGAUAGGAAAGUUGAUGAGCUUUUAACAAGAAAGGAAAUAUUUUAGGCAAGGGAAUUAGGAAAGACUGCUUAGUAGCAGCUGAGAUAGACCUUGACAAUGAAUAGCCAAAGGACAGAAAAAGAAGGCAAUAUGAGGAAUGGGUUCCUGAUGAGUGGAAACAGAUGAACAACACUUGAUAUGUAAGAAUAUUGAGACAUUCUCAGUAAAAGAAAGCCAGUAACUUAGUUUAAUAGGUGUGUAAAACAUAUAAUAGGGAAGAUGAUACUUAGACAAAUGUUUAGCACAGAAAAGGUAUUAAAAAAAUAAACACUUUUUGAAUGAAAGCAAUGAAUAAAUGAAGACUGAAAGGAAAGAUAAUGCCAAAUUGCAGAGAUCUUUGAAUACUAGGAUAAACAAAUUGCACUUGAGAUAAAGUGGAACACUUAAAGCCUUUUGAGCAAAGAUGGAUCGCUAUCAGAACUAGGCUGAAGGAAGAUUAAUUGGUGGGGGCAAUCAGUUAGCUAUUUCUAUAGUCCAGGAGGGUAGCAAUAGUGACAUGGAAUUACUUAAUUGGAAGUAGAAAGGGGAAGGAGGGAGAAACCGGAGAGAUGCUGCAGAGGCAAAAUUGAUAGUUAAAGCAAUUAAUUGGCUCUGGUAAGAAAGAUGAAAGCGAGGAAAAUGACUCCUCAGUUUCCAGGCUGGAUGACAGGGAGGGUAUCAGUGCUUUUAACAGAAACAACAGAGAAAGAUAAGCAUCAACUUGCAGAGAAAGAUAAUUAGUUCAGUGUUAGACAUGCGGCUGGCAGGGGCACUGGCAGGACAUCCAGGUAGAGAUGUGCAGCAAGCAGAUAAGUGUUGUCUUGUUCCUAAAAAAAUAAAUGCUGUCACAAGGGGAGCAGCAACAUUUGCCACUUAACCUCUACUUUCUGAUUAAUUGCAUGUAAGGAGCAAAGAUAGCCAAGGUUCUGUUCCUUAGUGUUGAAACACUCAUGAAAAUCAUGUAUACAUUUUAAAAAGCCAAGUACUAGCAAUUAAGGUGAUAAAAGAUUUUAGAUUACCUAGAUGUACCUGAAGCUCUGGAUACUUAAAUCCUCUGGUUGGAACACAAUAAAUGAAGUACGAAUAAAUUGAGUGGCUUGCUUGGGCUAAACUAUAACAUAGGCCAUGGCUCUCCAACUCCAGUUGCAUCAGAACCAUCAGAGGAGCUUGUUAGCAUACAAUUUCCCAGCCUCACCCCGAGAGUCUCUGAUUAGGUAAUUCUGGAGUGGUCUAAGAAUUUAUAGUUCUCACAGAUGCCCUUGAGGUGCUGGUGCUAUUGGUCUAGGACCACACUUUGAGCAUCAAGGGAGGGGGGUUAUAAAUAAUGUCUAAAAAGUGAUUCUCAGAAGAUAAUCUGUGAACAAUUACAAACACUUGGAUUACUUGUUAAAAAUUUAAUUCUUUUGGUCUCACCCUAGAUCCCAUGGAUCUUCAUAUCUGAGUUUAGAGUUUGGAAAUAAGCUUUUUGUGCAGCCUCUCUAGGUAAGUCUUCAUACCUUCUAAACUUUGAGAACCACUCAAAUUGUGAUCUGAAUUUGAAUUAGCUUUGGGAGGACAUUAGAGACUAAAGUUCUAUAAUUGUGGAAGAGAGAACAAAUGACCAGGAGUAAAAAGAUGGGGGCCACAGUCAUAAAUCUUGAUGCUAAUUAGCUGUGUGGCCUUAGGUCAAUUACUUAAGCUUUUUAGGUACAAUUUUUUUCAUCUAUAAACUGAAGGAUCUGUGAUGAAUUCUGGGAGUAACAAUGGGUAACAUUUAACUCCCAGAGAGUUCAGGAAAAAAACCAAUAUUCCUCAAUGGAAUAGGAUGGGUUUGCUUCUGCUUUGUUUUGUUGAAUUGUACCUGUCUCUGAUUUGCCUCAGUUGCUAGAGAUAGUUUGUUAGGUUAUUGGUCUCUUCUGUCUUUGAGAAUUACUAUUGGGUGAACCAUUUUUGUGGGUUGGAUUGACUUCUACUUCUCAUAAAUGCUGGGCUUAAAUGAUUACCCAGUACAAUCUAAUUUCUACUGGAGUAAAUUACAGAGAUUAUUGUGAUUCAAGUUUGUUAGUCAAAAUACUACCUCUUAAAAAUGAAUAUUAAAAUAGAACUUAAAUUUAUAUGCUCCCUCUCACACCCAUAGGAUGGCCACUUUCAAAAAAAUCAGAAUAAGUGAUGGUAAAGAGGUGAAGAAAUUGGAAACUUUGUGUACAAUUGGGGGAAAUGUACAGUGGUACUGCCACUAUGAAAAAUAGUAUGUGAUUCUUCAAAAUAUUAAAAAUAGGAUUACUACAUGACCCAUUAAUGUCACUUCUGGGUAUAUACUUAAUUGAAAGAAGGGCCCAAAUGUAUUUCAUAUUCAUAGCAGCAUUACUGACAAUACCCAAAAGAUGGGAGAAAUCCAAGUACCUUUAAGUGAAUGAAAAGAUGAACAAAAUAUGGUAUACACAUACAAUGAAACAUUACUCAGCCUUAAAAAAGAAAAACAUUCUGGAGUUCCUCUCCUGGCUCAGUGGUAAUGAAUCUGACUAGUAUCCAUGAAGACACAGGUUCAAUCCCUGGCCUCACUCAGUGGGUUAAGGAUCCAGUGUUGCCAUGUGGUGCAGGUCACAGAUGUGGCUUGGAUCUGGUAUUGAUGUGAUUGUGGCUGUGGUGCAGGCCAGCAGCUGCAGCUCCGAUUCAUCCCCUAGCCUGGGAACCUUCCUAUGCUGCAGGUGUGACCCUAAAAAGACAAAAAAAAAAAA
This 6541-nucleotide long non-coding RNA is filed under the name Sus scrofa (pig). RNAcentral describes it as "lncRNA (ENSSSCG00015046571.1)". Lineage: Eukaryota; Metazoa; Chordata; Mammalia; Artiodactyla; Suidae. The record is from RNAcentral.